This 552-nucleotide long non-coding RNA is filed under the name Lupinus angustifolius (narrow-leaved blue lupine). RNAcentral's name for it is "long non-coding RNA (LANG_LNC000795)". Lineage: Eukaryota; Viridiplantae; Streptophyta; Magnoliopsida; Fabales; Fabaceae. The record is from RNAcentral.
GAAGAAUUGAACAAUAUUCAAAGAAUUGAACAAAGAUUCACAACGUUUUAUCAACUUAUUGAUUAAUGAUGCAGAAGUCCAGCCACAAGGCAACAUGCAUAUCAACUCUAUUGCCAAUAUAGAAUCAAAAUUCACAAAAACCAAGUUUUUUAUAUUAACAUAUUCAAAGGAUAGUAUAAAAAUAUUUUUGAAGUGCAUAACUAUUCGAAAAAUCAGACCUGGUCGUGAAGGAACUAUAUCUUCAUAAAGUGUACAUGUAAAAAAUUGACUGCAAACUCCUAAAAAUACCGAUGUAUUACCCCCAUAGAAGUACUAUAUGACAAAUCAUGCAUAAGGUGCUGGUUCACAUAUGGUGCAAUUAAAAUUUCAACCGGACUGAAGGUUUAUAAGUGAUCAAUACACAAAGUGGUGUCACUAUAAGCCUGUGACAUAGAAGGUUACGAUAUGGAGAGGAUUCUCGAAACCAAAGUCGCAUAUCAUCACAACUAUCACACAGGCCCAAAGCGUCAAAGGUACACAGACUCCUCAUAGGAGAGAAACUCCUGCAUCCCA